Long non-coding RNA from Rhea pennata, 1766 nucleotides. RefSeq lists it as uncharacterized. The record is from RefSeq and is a predicted model, not a curated record. The transcript has 2 exons. Lineage: Eukaryota; Metazoa; Chordata; Aves; Rheiformes; Rheidae.
CACAGCUGUUUUGGGUGACACCCUGGAGCAGCCGAAGCGCCCGGUCACUUGUUGUCUGCACAGGGACGUUCAGAUAGCUCCCGAGAGGGAUCAGGACGGAGGUGGGAAGGACGUCGGCUGCCGAACCCAGCAGACACUGGGUCGCAUCAGAGCGUCCGGUUGUGGAGCUUCAGCUAAUUAAGGAACAGUACAAGUUCAGACGCAGACGCUGGCAGCGCGAAUUACGGCCGACUGUGGUCAAAGCUGUACGUGGAAGCCCAAGCUCUGCAGCAGGAGUGAGACGUAUCUGCGGCGGGAAGAGAAGGAGCGUGGCGGUCUGCAGGAAGCUGCGGAAAAACAAGGCGUAGAUGGCGUCAAGACAGGAAACGUGCCGCCUGCGACCGGGGGCCCGUCGGGAGACGCGGAGCCGGAUCUGCCCGGGCGCACCUACGGGGAAGAGCGUGCAGACGGGCCCACGUCACCUUCGGUGGGGAAGGGCCGGACUCUUCUCCGUAGCCACAAGACCCUGGCGCCUCCUCGAGGUGCCUUCAGCCGCCCCGGAGCUGGUGGAGGGAAACCAGCGUUGGCAGGGACCUCUCCCGCGUGGAGCCUCGCAGGAGAGCCGAGGACGUUGUCAAACGCUCCCUUGGCGCCGGGGUGGGACGGGACCCUACGGCGCACGUGACAACACGGCGAGGAGGUUUGGGAGCACAAGACACCUCCUUCUUGCACCCUUCCGAGCUCGUGCCCCUCCUGAGAGCUCGGCCCCCCGCUCCGGGGAGCGGGUGUCCCUCCUGCUGCCGAGGCGCUCUUCCCUCGCCCCAGCCCCCGGGGCGCGACGUGACAUUCGUCUGGGAACUAAAACUCCCUCGGCACCACCGAACGCUCUCGUGCCAAAACCUCGCGGCAGGAUCACCUUUCCUUGUGUGCAGCGCUGGAAGCAACGCGCAAGGGCAGGACACAUGAAAGCUAAGAAGGGAUAAAUAAAUGUCACCGCAGCCACGGGCAGCGCCGUCCUCUCCAGCUUCACCCGCAGAGCGCUGGGCACAGCGGCGCGCAGGUCCCGGCCCCACCUCGGCCACCCCGCAGGCGACGGGCCGCGAGGAGAAAACGGCCCUUCGUUGCUCUUGUAGUCUUUGAGGAAGCAGGUCUUGGAGGACGGGUUUCACCACAGGCUUGGGGAGACUCGCUGCACCGCACGAGGCAGCGCCCUCCCUUCCCACCGAGCCUUCGCACCAUCGCUAGCGCUGUGCCGCGUCCGAGGAUGAUCAACGCUCGGCCUUCCACUGCCGAGAACGUAGUCUCGGAAGGAGAAGGAAAAAAGUGCUAUUUCAUUAGAAAUAAUUAAAAAUCAAUCUUUGAUGAAAGCCUUGAAAGACAACUUCCCUUACUAAAAUGGGGAAGGAAAAGAGUGAGGAAAAAAAUACGAGAAACAAUCACUAUCGCAGAGACAAAAUGACGAGCUCCUCCACCGCAGUCCCGAACAGUUGCUGUUAAGUUAUCUGAGGAUUAACCAGCAUGGGCAAUUAUGAAACGAAGGCUCCGAGCCCAGCAAGUCCUUGGCUUCGUUACUAGGCCUGCCAGGACGAGCCCUCGCUGAGUUAGAGCUUUAUUCUCUUUAGUGGACAUCUGUCCACCAAGGACUGGAUGGAGGCCAUUCGCUCCCAGACAGGCCACCUAACACAGAUGACAGAUCAUAACAGCUCCUGGCAACCACCAACCCAGCUUCACACGCACUUGCCAAGUCCUUGAGUCAUCUAAUAAAAAUGCAGAUUUUUCAAAGUUGA